CGCCUGAAAAAUUUCAAACCCUGUAUUGGGAAGUGGAGAGGAGUCUACAGUGGAUAUUAAAUUGGAUGGAAUUUGUAGUUAUGUCCGUAAAUACUGAGUUUCAGCUGCCACCUGGCAUAUAACCUCUUAAUUCAAGGCUGAGGAAUUUUGGGGGGGGUGGCUUCUGACCACAAGAAGGGAGCAGACAAGCUUCCUGUUUUGUGAGUGAUCUCCUUGAGACCCCAGUCAUGAAUUUAAUGAAGCCUAGAAACAAUUAGGGUUCUACCUAUCCAGGCCCUGAGCCCAACUCAGUUUCCUGUCACCACCAGACAGGCCCAAGGGUGUCUACCAUCCAGGACUUAGCUCUUUUCCUUCUGUUCCUUUCUUUUCCCUAUCAAAGCCCUCUCAGUCUCUCAUCUGUGAUAUAAUAGUGUAUCCCCUUCUUACUGGAUAGGAGGAAAACUAAUUCCCAAAGUGACUUUAAAAUCACUUUGAUGUCAUUGGAGAAGUCACUAAGCAGUUAAGAGCGUUGCUACGUUCAAGGAAUUAAAUGAAUAUUGCCUUUCCUGAGUUUCCCCGCCCUCACUGAAGAGUUCCCUUUGCUUUCUAAUUAGUGCAGCAUUCUGCCUUAUCGGUUAAUUCCGGUGUCGAGCUGCUAAAGGCUCUGCAGUUAGUCUGGUAAUAAGGCAGACAUUUGUGGUGGUCCUAAAUUGGAAGCCAGAAAUGGUACUAGACUGAAUUUGGGUGUGGGCCCACCAUAGUAGCCGAGCAUUGUGUGGGAUUGGGGAAGAGUGUUUAUCCUUAGUCCAGGAUUGGGGAUGUGAAAAAGAUUUUAGGUAAAAGAAAACCAGGCGUAGUAAGAAGGGCUACCUUUAAGUUCCUGUGGUGGGGGUACACUUAAGAUCUACUUUAUAACAGGUUACACCUAUAUAUGAAUGUUCAAUCCAUGGGCAGUAGUAAUUACAGAAGACUUACCACAGUUUUUGGGAACCUAACAAGAGAGGUUGGGACAUCACUGCAUUGAUAGUCCUGACUUAAGGGACACAUUUAAAAUUAGAAAAAAAAAAAUAUUUCUUCCUUUCUCCUGAAUUAGUACCUUGACUAUAAGUGGUCUUGGAAGAUAGGAACAAUAUUGCAAAGAUAACUAAACAGCUGUCCAAAUGGAAUUUUAAAAAGUGUUGAGAAUUGGGGAUCUAAUCUUGAGAUUGAAUACUUUUCAGUAUAUAAGAUCUGGCAAUUGGUGUCAGUCGCCAGGAAGGAGUCUUAGGUGGAAGAUGAUAGGUGAUUAUCAGUUAGGCAGGUAGUCACCAUAAAUAGCAUCUCCAUGGUCUGCUCAGAUACUCUUCCUAAUAGGAAAUGUAUAAGGUGUGUAAUGUUCUAAAGUGGAAAAGUCAUUUUUGGUAAUAAUGCUUCUUUGAUCUCCUAGCUUUUCCCUCCUUUUUAGCAUCACCAAAGUGCCUAGAAUUAGCUUACGCAGUUUAUCACCACACUAAAAGCCUAGGUGGUAGAGUACUGAAUUCUUAGGCACACAGGGGUUGGAUUAGGAAGCAUCCUAAGUUGCAUCCCUUCCUCUAGGACAAGAGAUCCUCUGAGGAAGCCUAACCCCUUCCCAUGAUUGAAGUCUGGAAGAGGGAACUUGCAGAGGUACCAUCUCUGGAAAAUUGGGAUAUGAUGAGAAAAUGGGGUAGGACCAUGAAAGCGGCAAAUGUUCAGCAAGGACUUCUCCAGGCUUGGGAUGCUAAUUGGGAUAUUCGCUCAAAACAGGUCUUGGAGCUGUCUCUUUGGAACAGUGUGCCAAAAGACAAAGCAGUUGUUUACUUGUUGGUGGGGAACAAUCCCCAAUCCAGUUCCUAGGUUGAUGGUAAUUGGAAGAGCUUUUGAGGUGACAUUGAUGAAGCCAGAGAGUAAGUUAGAAAACACCCGAACGAAAUGUCUUAUCCUUUGGGAUAAGGCAUGGGGGAAAGGAGUUUACUUCUAUUUACUGGACCUAUGACCAUGCCUUUGUGGCUGGUCAGAUGAUAACUCUUCUUCUUAUCUAGUGCCUCCCCUUUCACUUAACCUUAGGUCUGUCUGAGCCUUACAAUAAAAAAUAGAAGAGGCAGAAAAGGGAUGUCAAAACUAGAGUAAGUAAAGGAGAAACAUACUGUGAGAUAAUAGAAAAAAUUUAAAUGUUAGGGAAGUUGGGCUAUGGCAACAGAGAUAAAGGAGAAACAAAAUCAAUUUAAGCAGAGAUAAGAUAGAUGGGGAAAAACAAAGAAUUAAGAAGAGAUGAAAGGCAGUGACAGAAACUUCUAAAAAACCAGAGACACAAAACAGACAAAGCCUCUUUUCCUCCUUUUUUCCCUUCCUCCUUUCUUCCUACAAAAUUGAGUGUCUACAUUGCCAUGUCCUGUCUAGGCACUGAGGAUGAAAGAUGAACAGGACUUCUUUCUGGCUCUAGAAGAACUCCUGUGUGGUGGGGACCUAGUGCCACGGCUGACUGCUGGGAUUGGGGUAUAAAGUGGGUUUCCAAGGACUGCCUUUUCUGUAUAUGUGUAAGGAGAGGAUGGGAUAAUGGAGACCCCCACAAUCCAGAAUGAGUUCUGUAGUUACUUUUGUAACUGCUCUUGGUUUGAAGGUAGAUCACCUGACGUGAGGGCUAGGAAUUCAGAUUCUCAUGGCUUCUCUUUGGGUGAUGGUAACUGGGCUAUACAGGUACUAGGGAGGAAUGUGUUGCAUGUCAGGGUUAGGAUGUUUCCUGUGUCCCCAGGGCCACACCACAGGCACCUCUUCUUUCCCAAAAGUGCUGCUGAGUUGUCCAGCUGCAACUCUCCUUGGGUUCUCUCCUGGCUGCCAUGUUGGAUGCAAAAGGGAAUUGUUACUUGGAAAAUGCAAAAUAAAGAAGGAACACCUUUAUCACAAAAUAACAAAAAAUAAAGAAACUAAUGUAAAACAUUUUAGUAAUCCAAACUUCAGGGGCCCCUGAAGUCCAAGAAGCCCAAGGACCAGGAAACAAAUAUCCGUCUUAGAAGAGGCCACUGAUAUUUAAAGAUGAGUUAAGGGUCUUUGCUGAAGCUGGGGUAGGACAGAACAAAAACCUUUACUCUGGAUGAGAGAGCCUCUUUGGAAAGGUACUUUUGUACUGGUUAAAAAAGUCCAUAUCAAAAAAAAAAAAAAAAAAUCCAUACCCGGGUUUCCCUGGUGGUGCAGGCAGUUGAGCACAGUGCUAUGAAGCUGUCCACAGCCUCUGCAGUGCCGGUUUGAUCCCCACUGGCCACAGAACAGCCCAUAUGGUGCGGCAGACCUCUCCUGUCUUGCCCACUGCCCCCCUCAGCAAUGUAUUUCGGUCGUGUGCCUGUUCUGUUCCCCACUCUGUUUCUGGUGAAUCCUCUCACCCUCCCGCACAUCUGGCCUGUACCCCGAUUCUUGUAUAAAUAAAAUAAAAAUAGAAUCUUAAAAAAAAACUCCAUACCCUUAAGGUGCAGGGUGCAGAGUUCCCAGAAUGUGGGUCUUCUGAGUCAAGAUUUGUUACACAUCUAGGUUUGAACUGUAAAUAAAAAGGCAUUGAAGAGUAGCUAUGAGUUUCCAGAGUUGUUGGGUGGGUAGACAGGUUGACAGUUUAGGAUUGGGUCUGGGAACCCUUUCCAAUGUGAUCUAUUUAGAAAGUAUUAGCUGAUGCUUGUGAGGGGUUUAAGGCUGCUGGGGCACAAAAGAACCAAGGCACUGGCUUUAUAGACACCAUUCACAGACAAAGCUGGGUGCAGGACGUUAGUUCAAUUACUGUCAUUUUAGCUAACAUCUGAAGUGCUUGGUGGACCAAGUUCCUAUAAAGGGACAGUGCUUUAAGCUGGACAGAUACCUUUACUAAAACAGCAGUACCACCAUAUUUUUCUCAUUUGCCAUGGGCCACUGAAACUCCCACAAAGUUGCGACGAUCCUUGGAUAACAUUUAGUUUCUACUGACCCGAGCCUGGCUCUAUGACCACAGCAAUGAAGAUGUGGAGUCACAGAGCUUGCUAUUCUCUGUUUCUUUAUGUAAACAGCCAAGAGAGGAGUUCAGGUCAUCAAGAAUAAGGACACACACUGUGGAGAUUCUGAAAUCUCUAGUUGUAGGAUUAGGGGUCUCACCUGGUUUUUCACUCCCAGAGAUGAUGGCCAGUUAGCAAAUUCCCAGCACCUUAAUCUUUCAUAAUUAGGAAGUUUGCUUUCUGGCCUUUAUAUUUCCCUUUUGUUAUAUAUUUUGCCUGUUAUAAGAUGAUUUUAACUCUUCUCCCAACUAACUUUCAGCUUUUCCUUAGGAAAAGGUCAGAUAAUUCACAACUAUGAUAGAAAAAACAAAAAACGCUCGUGUCUUAGCAUCUCUGGUAUCUGGUUUUGUUUUGUCUUAUUUUUCUUUAAAUGGUUUUUAGUUUUCUGAACUCAAAACCCUGUUUUUCUAAUGACAUCCUUUCUGGUAACUUGCCUGGCAACAGUGCCUGGAGAAUGCAAAUCAUAAAUAGCAUGAUGUGAUGGAAUCUGGAAUCUGUCAUAGUCCCUUCAACAGUUUUGCUCGAUUUAAAGAGAACUACUUUUAAAGGACUUGCCAUUGAGCUUUCCCUGAGUAGCUAGGGAGUCAAGGUUUGACUGACUCUAAAAUUAAAAAUAUUAGAUGUCAAGAUGAUUUGAACAAUGAUUUAAAAAAAAAAAUUCCUGUGUUCCAACAAGUCUUGGCCUGCCAUUAGCCUUGUGAACUUUGGCAGAUUUGCAGAUACCUUUGGCUUGUGGUUUCAUAGGAAAAACUGGAAUAUUAAUACCUACCUCACAGGGUUGUUGUGAGAAUUAAACGUGCUCUGUUAAUCUAUCAUGUAAAUUUUUGCAAUUUUUUGAAAUUUAAGAGCCAUUAAAAAAUAUUCUCUGGUUACAGAGCAGAUAUGUUGGCAUUUUCACAUCAGAGCAAGGGUUUUUGUUGUCAUGUAUAGUUAAACUGCUGUAGCAAAAUUUUAUUUCUAUGUAAAUAUUUUUGUGUGAAGGUCCAUAACUUUGAUCAGCUUUCUAAAGGAGGUCCGUUACUAGUAAAAGUUAAAAAGUACAGUGCUUCAUUGUUGGAAUGUUGGAUUCAAUAACUUCCAGAGGUUUCUUCUUCAUGUCUGCAGCAGCAGUUGCAAUGUUUUUUAGUGAAAUUCUUAAUGUGGUCUGAUGACUGUAUACACGUUUGCAAUUGGUAGUUCAAGUCUUAAAGAUAUGGUCACGGUAGCCAUUGAUGAUCUAAUUGUAAUGCUAAAAUGGGAGUAAAAUUGUUAACUGUGGCCCUAAGAAAGUUACCUACCUCAUGGAGGCUGUUACCUCAUUUGUAAAGUGAAGGAUUUCACCAAGAUGAUUUCUAAAGCUCCUAGUUUGAAUUCUCUAGGAAAGUGACAGCAAAUCUGGACUUGGAUGGAGUCUCUUUGUGGUAGCAACAAAGCAGGCUUUGUAUAAGAGGAAAGAGUAAGAGUGAGAAGGAGGCAGGGAGAAUUCAAGGGGCCCAUCCUUGGUGAAAAGGGGAAGUUCAAGGUGCUGGAGAUCCAGUGUUAUCAGGACAGGAAUUGCUGGUGAACUGCUUCUUAGCACCUGAGAUUCUGAUGGACAGACUCACCUUUUACCCUGGAACUGAUUUGCCAGCAUGCAAGCUGCCCCUGAGUGAGAAAAUACAGCAUCUUCCCUGCACUCACAGAACAGUCCAGUACUCACAGGAUCAAAUGCCUGGGAUCUUCUCAUCUGCCACGACAGGUGGUUUGUGUACUUCAGGAAAAUACUGCCCUCCAAAAAUGCCUUAAGACACAAAUUACAGAAGAAGACUUGGCUUCUCUGAAAGUAACCCUGACUGAGACUUGGUUCUUUGGACAUAGACAAGGUCCCAUUCCACGAGGAUUUUCACAACAAACAUGAACGACGAGAGAAACUGAGAACAGGACCCCAUGAUAAGAUAUUUCGCUGUCUCUCCAUAAGGAGGACAAGUGUGGUUUUGUGGUGAAGUGUGGGUUACGUGGUUAUGUCAUGUAGGGUUUAAAUAUGUACAUUUCCACUCAUGGAACAAAUGGUUCCAAUGUAUGCUCAGCACCAAGGUGUAUAAAUGCUGCACUAAAACCUUGAGCUCUCUGCCCUCUCACAAUGUGAGCUCUUCACUGUGAUACUAAGGCUCUUUAAUAAAGAGUACUUUGAUAACAUACCAUCGGACAAAGUAUUUGUUUGUAUAAAAUAUCUUUCAAAAACAAUACAAAUUG
Molecule: long non-coding RNA, 6197 nt
Organism: Talpa occidentalis (Iberian mole)
Lineage: Eukaryota; Metazoa; Chordata; Mammalia; Eulipotyphla; Talpidae
Exons: 3
Source: RefSeq, a predicted model, not a curated record